This 315-nucleotide ribosomal RNA is filed under the name uncultured bacterium. Its description in RNAcentral is "bacterial SSU rRNA". It matches the Rfam family "Bacterial small subunit ribosomal RNA", at positions 28 to 346 of the family's 1533-position model. The record is from RNAcentral.
GACGAACGCUGGCGGCGUGCUUAACACAUGCAAGUCGAGCGGUAAGGCCCUUCGGGUACGACGAGCGGCGAACGGGUGAGUAACACGUGGGUGACCUGCCCUUACGCUCUGGGAUAAGCCUGGGAAACUGGGUCUAAUACCGGAUAUGACCUCAUGACGCAUGUUGUGGGGUGGAAAGCCUUGUGCGGCUAGGGAUGGGCCCGCGGCCUAUCAGCUUGUUGGUGGGGUGAUGGCCACCAAGGCGACGACGGGUAGCCGGCCUGAGAGGGCGACCGGCCACACUGGGACUGAGACACGGCCCAGACUCCUACGGGA